This 133-nucleotide ribosomal RNA is filed under the name uncultured bacterium. RNAcentral describes it as "partial 16S ribosomal RNA". It matches the Rfam family "Bacterial small subunit ribosomal RNA", at positions 338 to 483 of the family's 1533-position model. The record is from RNAcentral.
CCUACGGGAGGCAGCAGUGGGGAAUAUUGCACAAUGGGCGCAAGCCUGAUGCAGCAACGCCGCGUGAGGGAUGAAGGCCUUCGGGUUGUAAACCUCUUUUAGCAGGGAAGAAGCGAAAGUGACGGUACCUGCA